GACGGAGGGAGCAAGCGUUGUUCGGAUUUACUGGGCGUAAAGGGCGCGUAGGCGGUCGUGACAAGUCACUUGUGAAAUCUCCGGGCUUAACUCGGAACGGUCAAGUGAUACUGUCGGACUAGAGUGCGGAAGGGGCAACUGGAAUUCUCGGUGUAGCGGUGAAAUGCGUAGAUAUCGAGAGGAACACCUGCGGCGAAGGCGGGUUGCUGGGCCGACACUGACGCUGAUGCGCGAAAGCCAGGGGAGCGAACGGG
Molecule: ribosomal RNA, 254 nt
Filed under: uncultured bacterium
Lineage: Bacteria
Description: partial 16S ribosomal RNA
Rfam family: Bacterial small subunit ribosomal RNA
Source: RNAcentral